RNAcentral lists this ribosomal RNA (517 nucleotides) under uncultured Acidobacteriota bacterium. Its description in RNAcentral is "bacterial SSU rRNA". It matches the Rfam family "Bacterial small subunit ribosomal RNA", at positions 39 to 573 of the family's 1533-position model. Lineage: Bacteria; Pseudomonadati; Acidobacteriota. The record is from RNAcentral.
GCGGCGUGCCUAACACAUGCAAGUCGAACGAGAAAGUGGAGCAAUCCAUGAGUAAAGUGGCGACCGGGUGAGUAACACGUGACUAACCUACCCUAGAGUGGGGAAUAACCUCGGGAAACCGGGGCUAAUACCGCAUAACAUCACGAGCUGUAAACGCUUGUGAUCAAAGGAGUAAUUCGCUCAAGGAGGGGGUCGCGGCUGAUUAGUUAGUUGGUGAGGUAACGGCUCACCAAGACUUAGAUCAGUAGCCGGCCUGAGAGGGCGCACGGCCACACUGGAACUGAAACACGGUCCAGACUCCUACGGGAGGCAGCAGUGGGGAAUUUUGCGCAAUGGGGGAAACCCUGACGCAGCAACGCCGCGUGGAGGAUGAAGUCCCUUGGGAUGUAAACUCCUUUCGAUCGGGACGAUAAUGACGGUACCGGAAGAAGAAGCACCGGCUAACUCUGUGCCAGCAGCCGCGGUAAUACAGAAGGUGCAAGCGUUGUUCGGAAUUAUUGGGCGUAAAGGGUGCGUA